GAUGAAGAACGCAGCGAAAUGCGAUAAGUAGUGUGAAUUGCAGGUGUAUACGUGAAUCAUCGAAUCUUUGAACGCAAAUUGCACUUUCUGGUAUUCCAGGAAGUAUGCCUGUUUGAGGGUCGCCUAAAUAAACUUCGAUUAUAUUGCUUUUUUUGUAAAUAUAUGUCGGAUUUGGGCUUUUCUUUAUUUUUUUUUAAAUAAAGUGGCUUAAAAUUUUUUUUUUUGGUAUCAUCGAAAAGCGUAUUUUACGAUCAAUGUCGAUCAAAAGAAACGUUGUCGAAUGCCAUCCUUUAUUAAUGUAAUACGUUUGACUUGUGUUAUCAUCUAGUUCAUUCGUAUACGAUUCUUGAUUUUUUGACCUCAAAUCAGGUAAGAGUACCCGCUGAACUUAAGCAUAUCAAUAAGCGGAGGA
RNAcentral lists this unclassified non-coding RNA (412 nucleotides) under soil metagenome. RNAcentral describes it as "partial contains 5.8S ribosomal RNA, internal transcribed spacer 2, and large subunit ribosomal RNA". The stretch from base 1 to 122 matches the Rfam family "5.8S ribosomal RNA", at positions 35 to 154 of the family's 154-position model. The record is from RNAcentral.